GAUGAACGCUAGCGGCAGGCCUAAUACAUGCAAGUCGAACGAUACCAAGGGGCUUGCUCCUUGGAAAAGUGGCGCACGGGUGCGUAACGCGUAUGCAACCUACCUUUAUCAGGGGGAUAGCCCGGAGAAAUCCGGAUUAAUACCGCAUAAAAUCACAGGAUGGCAUUAUCCAAUGAUCAAACAUUUAUGGGAUAAAGAUGGGCAUGCGUGUCAUUAGCUAGUUGGCGGGGUAACGGCCCACCAAGGCGACGAUGACUAGGGGAUCUGAGAGGAUGGCCCCCCACACAGGUACUGAGACACGGACCAGACUCCUACGGGAGGCAGCAGUAAGGAAUAUUGGUCAAUGGGCGGAAGCCUGAACCAGCCAUGCCGCGUGCAGGAAGACUGCCCUAUGGGUUGUAAACUGCUUUUAUCCGGGAAUAAACCUACUUACGUGUAAGUAGCUGAAUGUACCGGAAGAAUAAGGAUCGGCUAACUCCGUGCCAGCAGCCGCAGUAA
RNAcentral lists this ribosomal RNA (498 nucleotides) under uncultured bacterium. RNAcentral describes it as "partial 16S ribosomal RNA". It matches the Rfam family "Bacterial small subunit ribosomal RNA", at positions 28 to 523 of the family's 1533-position model. The record is from RNAcentral.